Molecule: transfer RNA, 72 nt
Filed under: Camelus bactrianus (Bactrian camel)
Lineage: Eukaryota; Metazoa; Chordata; Mammalia; Artiodactyla; Camelidae
Also listed under: 2 other names
Rfam family: tRNA
About the family: Transfer RNA (tRNA) molecules are approximately 80 nucleotides in length. Their secondary structure includes four short double-helical elements and three loops (D, anti-codon, and T loops).
Source: Rfam by way of RNAcentral
GCAGGUAUAGCUCAGUGGCAAAGUGCGUGUUUGGCAUGCGUGAGGUCCUGGAUUCAAUCCCCAGUACCUCCA